Molecule: non-coding RNA, 148 nt
Organism: Helianthus annuus (common sunflower)
Lineage: Eukaryota; Viridiplantae; Streptophyta; Magnoliopsida; Asterales; Asteraceae
Source: Rfam
GAGAGAAGAGAUCGUCAGGUUAGCUAAGGAGACUGCCUGAUUACCAACCAAUCAAAGGGUCUCAAGUCACCAGUCUAAAAAGACCAGACCCUUUAAAAAGAAGAAGCAGGCAAGUCAUCCUUGGCUACCAAACGAAACUCUCUCUAUU